ACAAACAUUUUUAAUUUGCUUUUUUACCGAGUCAUAAAUUGUUUUCAAAUAAUUUGUACAUAGACACUUUUGUGCAAAGCGUGCAGGCUAGUAUAUUUUUUAAAAGCACACCAUUUGGUAUUUCAAUGCUGCCAGAAGGUCGGUCACACUGUCAGUCUCGUUCGAAAACUCGACAAACGAAGUUGCAAGUCGCUGUAGACGCGCCGUCGCAUGUAAAGUGCAUUUAAACAAUUGCAGUGGAAUUUCGCGUACAAAACCUAAGGCGUGUAUAUGCAAUUGUGUUUCGAUACAAAAACAAAAAAAUAAAACAACAACCCAAAACAAAUAUACACACUUAAAAAAAGAAAUUAAAAUUAAAAUUUUCGGUUAAUAUACAUAUAUAUAUACACAAAUAUAUAUAUAGACUUUAAUAAAAUCCACUGGCUGCAGGGCGAGCGCAGGCCAAGCCGAAACAUCGCUUUGGAUAUCUUCAACGGAAUCAAAGAGCAACUUUCAAGUUGCCCC
This is a long non-coding RNA of Drosophila montana, 504 nucleotides long. RefSeq lists it as uncharacterized. The record is from RefSeq and is a predicted model, not a curated record. NCBI's taxonomy places the organism in Eukaryota, Metazoa, Arthropoda, Insecta, Diptera, Drosophilidae. The transcript is spliced from 3 exons.